CCAGCAAGCAACUUUGUCCACCAACCAGCUAUGGGGGCACAGAGCAAGAAAAGGGAAAGAGAGGAAAAAUCAUCCACCGGAAAGGCACCUCCUCCCACCAUGAUUAAAACUAACUAAAUCCCUUUUGUCUACUGCAGGAAAACGAAGGAUUGAUGAUGGCAGCAGGACGCGAUGCCAGGGAAAUCACCAAACCGGGGCAGAAAAUUUUCUGUCGAUUGUCAAAAAUUUUCUCGGAAGAACGAGGAAACAAUUUUAAUACUUUUCAGCUCUAGGUCGCCCACCAGUAAAAUGCGGGAAUACAUUUCAGUUCUAGGUCGCCCACCAGUAAAAUGCGGGAAUACAUUUCAGUUCUAGGUCGCCCACCAGUAAAAUGCGGGAAUACUUUUCAGUUCUAGGUCGCCCACCAGUAAAAUGCGGCAAUACUUUUCAGUUCUAGGUCGCCCACCAGUAAAAUGCGGGAAUACGUUUCAGUUCUAGGUCGCCCACCAGUAAAAUGCGGGAAUACAUUUAAGUUCUAGGUCGCCCACCAGUAAAAUGCGGGAACACAUUUAAGUUCUAGGUC
This 562-nucleotide long non-coding RNA is filed under the name Nicotiana tabacum (common tobacco). Its description in RNAcentral is "long non-coding RNA (NTAB_LNC009221)". Lineage: Eukaryota; Viridiplantae; Streptophyta; Magnoliopsida; Solanales; Solanaceae. The record is from RNAcentral.